RNAcentral lists this ribosomal RNA (253 nucleotides) under uncultured bacterium. RNAcentral's name for it is "partial 16S ribosomal RNA". It matches the Rfam family "Bacterial small subunit ribosomal RNA", at positions 524 to 776 of the family's 1533-position model. The record is from RNAcentral.
UACGUAGGGGGCAAGCGUUGUCCGGAUUUAUUGGGCGUAAAGAGCGUGUAGGCGGCCAGGUAGGUCCGCUGUGAAAACUCGAGGCUCAACCUCGAGAUGUCGGCGGAAACCAUCUGGCUAGAGUCCGGAAGAGGAGAGUGGAAUUCCUGGUGUAGCGGUGAAAUGCGCAGAUAUCAGGAAGAACACCCGUGGCGAAGGCGGCUCUCUAGUACGGUACUGACGCUGAGACGCGAAAGCGUGGGGAGCGAACAGG